UACGGAAGGCAGCAGUGGGGAAUAUUGCACAAUGGGCGAAAGCCUGAUGCAGCUAUGCCGCGUGUAUGAAGAAGGCCUUAGGGUUGUAAAGUACUUUCAUCGGGGAGGAAAAACAAAACUAAUAAUUUUAUUUCUUGACGUUACCCGAAAAAGAAGCACCGGCUAACUCCGUGCCAGCAGCCGCGGUAAUACGGAGGGUGCUAGCGUUAAUCAGAAUUACUGGGCGUAAAGAGCACGUAGGUGGUUUUUUUAAGUCAGAUGUGAAAUCCCUGGGCUUAACCUAGGAAACUGCAUUUUGAAACUGAAAUACUAGAGUAUCGUAGAGGGAGGUAGAAUUCUAGGUGUAGCGGUGAAAUGCGUAGAUAUCUGGAGGAAUACCUGUGGCGAAAGCGGCCUCCUAAACGAAUACUGACACUGAGGUGCGAAAAGCGUGGGGAGCAAACAGGGAUUAGAUACC
This 457-nucleotide ribosomal RNA is filed under the name uncultured bacterium. RNAcentral's name for it is "bacterial SSU rRNA". It matches the Rfam family "Bacterial small subunit ribosomal RNA", at positions 340 to 786 of the family's 1533-position model. The record is from RNAcentral.